GCUUGACUGCGAGCGUGACGGCGCGAGCAGGUGCGAAAGCAGGUCAUAGUGAUCCGGUGGUUCUGAAUGGAAGGGCCAUCGCUCAACGGAUAAAAGGUACUCCGGGGAUAACAGGCUGAUACCGCCCAAGAGUUCAUAUCGACGGCGGUGUUUGGCACCUCGAUGUCGGCUCAUCACAUCCUGGGGCUGAAGUAGGUCCCAAGGGUAUGGCUGUUCGCCAUUUAAAGUGGUACGCGAGCUGGGUUUAGAACGUCGUGAGACAGUUCGGUCCCUAUCUGCCGUGGGCGCUGGAGAACUGAGGGGGGCUGCUCCUAGUACGAGAGGACCGGAGUGGACGCAUCACUGGUGUUCGGGUUGUCAUGCCAAUGGCACUGCCCGGUAGCUAAAUGCGGAAGAGAUAAGUGCUGAAAGCAUCUAAGCACGAAACUUGCCCCGAGAUGAGUUCUCCCUGACUCCCUGAGAGUCCUGAAGGAACGUUGAAGACGACGACGUUGAUAGGCCGGGUGUGUAAGCGCAGCGAUGCGUUGAGCUAACCGGUAC
Molecule: ribosomal RNA, 540 nt
Filed under: Escherichia coli
Lineage: Bacteria; Pseudomonadati; Pseudomonadota; Gammaproteobacteria; Enterobacterales; Enterobacteriaceae
Description: partial 23S ribosomal RNA
Rfam family: Bacterial large subunit ribosomal RNA
Source: RNAcentral